AUACUUAUCUGGCAGGGGCGAUACCAUGAUUAUGAAGAUGGUUUUCCCAGGGUGAGGCUUAUCCAUUGCAUUGCAGAUGUGCUGACCCCUGUGAUUUCCCCAAAUGUGGGAAACUCUACUGCAUGAUUCGUGGUAGUAGGGGACUAUGUUCACCCCCUC
RNAcentral lists this small nuclear RNA (159 nucleotides) under Carlito syrichta (Philippine tarsier). Its description in RNAcentral is "U1 spliceosomal RNA (ENSTSYG00000029888.1)". It matches the Rfam family "U1 spliceosomal RNA". From Rfam's summary of the family: U1 is a small nuclear RNA (snRNA) component of the spliceosome (involved in pre-mRNA splicing). The record is from Rfam by way of RNAcentral. Lineage: Eukaryota; Metazoa; Chordata; Mammalia; Primates; Tarsiidae.